This 253-nucleotide ribosomal RNA is filed under the name uncultured bacterium. Its description in RNAcentral is "partial 16S ribosomal RNA". It matches the Rfam family "Bacterial small subunit ribosomal RNA", at positions 524 to 776 of the family's 1533-position model. The record is from RNAcentral.
UACAGAGGGGGCUAGCGUUAUUCGGAAUUAUUGGGCGUAAAGGGCGCGUAGGCGGCCAUGCGUGUCUUCCGUGAAAUCCCUCGGCUUAACUGAGGACGUGCGGAAGAAACUGCAAGGCUCGAGUCCGGGAGAGGGGGGUGGAAUUCCCAGUGUAGCGGUGAAAUGCGUAGAUAUUGGGAGGAACACCGGUGGCGAAGGCGGCCCCCUGGACCGGAACUGACGCUGAGGCGCGAAGGCCAGGGGAGCAAACGGG